UACAGAGGUGGCAAGCGUUGUUCGGAAUUACUGGGCGUAAAGGGCGCGUAGGCGGCCUUGUAAGUCUCGUGUGAAAGCCCUCGGCUUAACUGAGGAUCUGCACGGGAUACUGCGAGGCUUGAGUUCGGGAGAGGAAAGCGGAAUUCCGGGUGUAGCGGUGAAAUGCGUAGAUAUCCGGAGGAACACCAGUGGCGAAGGCGGCUUUCUGGACCGACACUGACGCUGAGGCGCGAAAGCUAGGGGAGCAAACAGG
RNAcentral lists this ribosomal RNA (253 nucleotides) under uncultured bacterium. RNAcentral describes it as "partial 16S ribosomal RNA". It matches the Rfam family "Bacterial small subunit ribosomal RNA", at positions 524 to 776 of the family's 1533-position model. The record is from RNAcentral.